This 61-nucleotide transfer RNA is filed under the name Leptynoptera sulfurea. RNAcentral's name for it is "tRNA-Ser". Lineage: Eukaryota; Metazoa; Arthropoda; Insecta; Hemiptera; Triozidae. The record is from RNAcentral.
AAGCUUUAUAAUUUAUAAAAAAUAUUUACCUUGAAAGUAAAAAAAGAAUUUAUCUAAAGCU